GUUAACCUAGCCGCUUACACAGUUUCCAGUGCCUCCGAGGGGCCGGGACUCAUGGAGGUCGGAGUUUCAAAGAUGUUCCGUGGAAGCUGCUGGAGACACAAUAACCAUUUUGAGGAGGAGAGCCAAGCUGUCUGGAACCACUGUCUGCAAGGGCUUCUCUCCCAUCCCAGCAAGGGUACCCCGCAAUCAGAGCACCUCUGGCCGUGGGCUGCCCGGAUAAACACUGAGGGAGGCGGAGUGGUCAUUAGCUGAGGGCAGAGACUCUAGCGGUCCCCACGCAGCCCGAAAGCUGGAAGAGGGCGGGAUUUACUGAUCUGCAGGCAGAAAGAAGAGUAAAGAGAAGAGAGAUUUUUUCAAGCCUGCUUUCUCUUUUGGCUCACCCACACCGGGCAGGUGUGUCCUGGGGCUUGCAGAAGGCAGAGUGAGGACCAGAAGGUUGUCCACGGAGAACACUGGGAAGAUGGAAUCAAGGCACGGGGAUGAGAGGUACUGAUCAGGUCUCUGCUCACCAGGUCAGAGGCAGAGCACAAGACAGUUGUCACCAGGAGCAGAGUGAGGAGAAGAGGACCCAUGGUGAGUGAGCUGUGUGGGACCCGGCCACUCGGGGCAGCCUUUUGGGUGGGCUGUGACUGGGGAAACAGUGUCCAGCAGUGGAGCCAGAACACAUCUGUUUCUCCCCAUCUCUGGCUGAGAUGUGACCCAUGACCCCCAGAGUUUGUGAUUCCUGGGACACGGAGGCCAUCAGCAGUGGCUGGCUUCAUCCUCACAGUGGGCUGAGUACUUCCCGUGAUGUCAGCCACUGUGUAAUUUCUGGGGGGCUGAGCUCCCUUAUCCUUGGUGCAGAAGUGAAAUAAAAUAGGGUCCACUCUGAGAGCCCCAGCCAGUGCCCAGUGGACCUUGGGCCAGGCCUUCCGGGGGCUUCCUCCUGUCACGUGGCCCGUCCUCUGGAAGUGCGAGGAACCACUGGGCCGGCGCUGGCUGCUCACAGAGGAACUUUCACACCUACUUGAUACCUACUCUCACCUUGGACUAUGAACUCCCAGUUUCCUCCCCUGCGUUCGGGUGCAGGAGGCACCCAGCUUCCAGAGGCUCCACAGAGACCCUGCACUUUCCUUACCCCACACAUUCUCUCUCUUGCACAUUAUGUCGCCCUCAACUCCGUGUUCAGAUUUCAUCCCUGUCUCAAUCCUGUCUCUUGUGAGGACACAAUUUCCCUGCCAUCCCCACCAGGGCCAGGAGGCAGGGGCUCUGUCUGAAGGGAGGGCAGUUGACAGAAAGGGGGCGGAGAGGUCACGAAGACCAAAUGCAGCUACUUCCCAGUCAAGGUCUAGCUGCAGUUUUCCUCAGACACC
Molecule: long non-coding RNA, 1352 nt
Organism: Fukomys damarensis (Damara mole-rat)
Lineage: Eukaryota; Metazoa; Chordata; Mammalia; Rodentia; Bathyergidae
Exons: 3
Source: RefSeq, a predicted model, not a curated record